RNAcentral lists this ribosomal RNA (468 nucleotides) under uncultured bacterium. RNAcentral describes it as "partial 16S ribosomal RNA". It matches the Rfam family "Bacterial small subunit ribosomal RNA", at positions 28 to 507 of the family's 1533-position model. The record is from RNAcentral.
GACGAACGCUGGCGGCGUGCUUAACACAUGCAAGUCGAACGGAAAGGCCCUGCUUUUGUGGGGUGCUCGAGUGGCGAACGGGUGAGUAACACGUGAGUAACCUGCCCUUGACUUUGGGAUAACUUCAGGAAACUGGGGCUAAUACCGGAUAGGAGCUCCUGCUGCAUGGUGGGGGUUGGAAAGUUUCGGCGGUUGGGGAUGGACUCGCGGCUUAUCAGCUUGUUGGUGGGGUAGUGGCUUACCAAGGCUUUGACGGGUAGCCGGCCUGAGAGGGUGACCGGACACAUUGGGACUGAGAUACGGACCAGAGUGCUACGGGAGGCAGCAGUGGGGAAUAUUGCACAAUGAGCGGAAGCCUGAUGCAGAAACGCCGCGGGCGGGAUGAAGGCCUUCGGGUUAUAAACAGAUUUCGCCUGUGACGAAGCGUGAGUGACGGUAAUGGGUAAAGAAGCACCGGCUAACUACGUG